UUCUACAUAAAAUUUUGAUUUCAAAAAAUGGAACAUAGAACACAGAUGCUGCAUCAUGAAUUCGAAUGCUUGCACGUUACAUUAUUCAAAAAGGUUUCUAUAAUGACGUAUAACACAAUAUUCAACUUAACAUAACAUAACACAAACUUUAAAAAACUAUAGCUAAACAUAGUCCUUUCCUAUCCUUUGCCCUUAGCCCUUGGUAUCUUUCUAGGACUCCCUUUCUAUAGCUCAUUAACAUCAGUCCUCCCUCCUUCUUUUCCUUACGAGAUAUUUCCAUGCUGAAGAUAGCUCUACUGAUUGCCUCUCAUUUAUUACUUCCCCUCUUCUACUCCCUUCCAAGAUUUUCAUCCCUUCUACUACUGGGAGCUCUUUCACAUCAUCUACUUUUUUUAUUACCUUCGCUUCUUCCCAGUUUACUUCCACAUUAUACUCGUACACCCUUCUUGCAAGGGCCGUUGUCAGUCUACCUUUCUUUAUAUCUUCUUCAUGCUCUCU
This 498-nucleotide long non-coding RNA is filed under the name Androctonus crassicauda. The record is from RNAcentral. Lineage: Eukaryota; Metazoa; Arthropoda; Arachnida; Scorpiones; Buthidae.